UAGUGAAUUAGACCAAUUAGAGCUUGUACAGUUAAAUUAUCUGUCUUAUUACCUUCUGAUAAACAGCCUUGUCAUAUCUUUACUCAGAUGAUGAAGCUUGGAAGUGUUUUAUGAGGAUUUACAUGGUUCUGGAAGUAUCAUCUGUAAACCUGAACAGAGAUGACUGAAGAUGGGUGAACUGAGUAAAGGGGGAAGUUCUGUUUUUGCCUUUGUGUGAGUUGGGGUCCAGCUGUCUGGAAAGCAGCUCUGCAGAGAAAGACACCAGGAUUCUGGUGGCGGCAAGCUGAAGGAGAAUGAAGAAGAAUCAGAAUGAAAAGACAAAGGACAAUGAUAAAAAGUUGCAUCGUGAGUCCUUACAAGGGGACUUAAGGAAAAAAUUCCUCACAAUGGGAAUGGUGGGCUUUCAACAAAGUCUGUGGGCUUUCAACAAAGCUUUCAAAAUUUGACUGGACUAUGCUCUAUUGAAUCUGGUCUAGCUUCUGAGUAAGUCUUGAUUUGGGCAGAUGGUUGGAGAUGAUAACCUACAGAUCUCCCAUCCAACAAAGAUUAUUUUAUGAUUCAUGGGUCUAUGAAUACUGGUUCCCUAGGAAGAUGAAUCUGAAUUGUACUUUCAAGAUUCCCACAACAGGAAAAAUGAAAUAAAAUUAGAAUAAUGUUUUCACAUUAAGACAGACUAGGACAGGACUGGUUGAUUCCAGCUCUUUGAGUAAGCCACUUAAAUGAUUGUAACCUUGGGUAAACAGUAGAGCAUCACUGAGCUUCAGUUCUCCUCCAGUAAAACAGAAUGAAUAAUAUUUCUUCACAAUUUUUUCUAAGAGUGAUUCACCCUUAUGCAUCAAAGGUUCUUUAACAGACUGAGCCAAAUGAGUUGCUGAUCAGAGAUGCUAUGGUACCACAACCAUUGUGCAUCUGGUCAAUGUACAUGUUAUUUCAUGAGCAUAACCAUCAAAUAUAUGGGGGAAAAAAAGAGCAAAUAAAUGAUUUCAGAGUCCUUCUUCCUGGAUAUAUAAA
Cyanistes caeruleus (blue tit) is the source of this 1011-nucleotide long non-coding RNA. RefSeq lists it as uncharacterized. The record is from RefSeq and is a predicted model, not a curated record. Lineage: Eukaryota; Metazoa; Chordata; Aves; Passeriformes; Paridae.